GGACAGGUGGCCGAGUGGUUUAAGGCGCACGCCUGGAGAGCGUGUGGGCGGCAACCCCGCCUCGUGGGUUCGAAUCCCACCCUGUCCG
RNAcentral lists this transfer RNA (88 nucleotides) under Gemmatimonadota bacterium. Its description in RNAcentral is "Gemmatimonadetes bacterium (beach sand metagenome) tRNA-Ser". It matches the Rfam family "tRNA". From Rfam's summary of the family: Transfer RNA (tRNA) molecules are approximately 80 nucleotides in length. Lineage: Bacteria; Pseudomonadati; Gemmatimonadota. The record is from RNAcentral.